RNAcentral lists this non-coding RNA (1373 nucleotides) under Caenorhabditis japonica. RNAcentral describes it as "Eukaryotic large subunit ribosomal RNA". It matches the Rfam family "Eukaryotic large subunit ribosomal RNA", at positions 930 to 2245 of the family's 3401-position model. Lineage: Eukaryota; Metazoa; Nematoda; Chromadorea; Rhabditida; Rhabditidae. The record is from Rfam by way of RNAcentral.
ACUAAUCGAACCAUCUAGUAGCUGGUUCCUUCCGAAGUUUCCCUCAGGAUAGCUGGAACUCUUGCAGUUAUAUUCGGUAAAGCUAAUGAUUAGAGGCCUUGGGGACGUAAUGUCCUCAACCUAUUCUCAAACUUUCAAUGGAUAUGGCGUCGCAGUUUCUUUAGUGAACUGCGGCGUGAAUGCGAGUUCCAAGUGGGCCAUUUUUGGUAAGCAGAACUGGCGCUGUGGGAUGAACCAAACGUGGAGUUAAGGUGCCUAACUUCUCGCUUAUGAGACCCCAUAAAAGGUGUUGGUUGAUAUUGACAGCAGGACGGUGGCCAUGGAAGUCGGUACCCGCUAAGGAGUGUGUAACAACUCACCUGCCGAAUCAACUAGCCCUGAAAAUGGAUGGCGCUUAAGCGAGAGACCUAUACUCCGCCGUCGCGGCAUGUGCGUUGUCUAGCGCCAGGUCGCGACGAGUAGGAAGGACGUGGCGGUUGCGUUGAAGGCUAUGAGCGUAGGCUCGGCUGGAGCUUCCGUCAGUGCAGAUCGUAAUGGUAGUAGCAAAUAUUCAAGUUCGAUCCUUGAAGACUGAAGUGGAGAAGGGUUCCACGUGAACAGUAGUUGGAUGUGGGUCAGUCGAUCCUAAGGUACUGGACGAAAGCCUUGUAUCAUCGGUGGACGAAAAGCUUGUCUUUUUGUCCCCGCCCGUCGAAAGGGAAUAGGGUUAAUAUUCCCUAACUGAGAUGCAAAGAUUGUGUUCUUCGGAGCACAAGCGCGGUAACGCGUUCGAACUUGGUAAGUCGCUCAGAGACCGAGCUAGAGUUUUCUUCUCUAGUUAAGGAACGGACUCCCUGGAAUUGGUUCAGCCAGAGAUGGGGACGUUGUUUCCGAAAAGCACCGCGGUUUCUGUGGUGUCUCGUGCUCUCUGAACGGCCCUUUAAACACCAAGGGAGGCUAUUAAUUUGCACUCAAUCGUACCGAUAUCCGCAUUAGGUCUCCAAGGUGAACAGCCUCUAGUCGAUAGAAUAAUGUAGGUAAGGGAAGUCGGCAAACUAGAUCCGUAACUUCGGGAAAAGGAUUGGCUCCAGUGGUCGGAACGGUUGGCCAGUUGGUUGAUGCUUGUCCGGCGCUGUUCUGUCUGCUUGAUGCUUUCGGGCUGAUGGCGGCCUAGUGAUAGUGCUUGCUUGUUGACGCUUUCUGGUGUGUGCUUUGACCUCGGUCUUAGUAUCCUGAUCGUUCAUCUAAACGACUAAACUGGAACCGGUACGGACUCAGGGAAUCCGACUGUCUAAUUAAAACAGAGGUGACAGAUGGUCCUUGCGGACGCUGACUGUCACUGAUUUCUGCCCAGUGCUCUGAAUGUUAAAUCGUAGUAAUUCGAGUAAGCGCGG